UACGGGGGGGGCAAGCGUUGUUCGGAAUUACUGGGCGUAAAGGGCUCGUAGGUGGCCAACUAAGUCAGACGUGAAAUCCCUCAGCUUAACUGGGGAACUGCGUCUGAUACUGGAUGGCUUGAGUUUGGGAGAGGGACGCGGAAUUCCAGGUGUAGCGGUGAAAUGCGUAGAGAUCUGGAAGAACACCAAAGGCGAAGGCAGCGUCCUGGCGAGUCACUGACGCUCAGGUGCGAAAGCUAGGGGAGCGAACGGG
RNAcentral lists this ribosomal RNA (253 nucleotides) under uncultured bacterium. RNAcentral describes it as "partial 16S ribosomal RNA". It matches the Rfam family "Bacterial small subunit ribosomal RNA", at positions 524 to 776 of the family's 1533-position model. The record is from RNAcentral.